UAGGGAAUCUUCCACAAUUGGGCGCAAGCCUGAUGGAGCAACACCGCGUGAGUGAAGAAGGGUUUCGGCUCGUAAAGCUCUGUUGUUAAAGAAGAACACGUAUGAGAUUAACUGUUCAUACGUUGACGGUAUUUAACCAGAAAGUCACGGCUAACUACGUGCCAGCAGCCGCGGUAAUACGUAGGUGGCAAGCGUUAUCCGGAUUUAUUGGGCGUAAAGAGAGUGCAGGCGGUUUUCUAAGUCUGAUGUGAAAGCCUUCGGCUUAACCGGAGAAGUGCAUCGGAAACUGGAUAACUUGAGUGCAGAAGAGGGUAGUGGAACUCCAUGUGUAGCGGUGGAAUGCGUAGAUAUAUGGAAGAACACCAGUGGCGAAGGCGGCUACCUGGUCUGCAACUGACGCUGAGACUCGAAGGCAUGGGUAGCGAACAGGAUUAGAUACCCUGGUAGUCCAUGCCGUAAACGAUGAGUGCUAGGUGUUGGAGGGUUUCCGCCCUUCAGUGCCGGAGCUAACGCAUUAAGCACUCCGCCUGGGGAGUACGACCGCAAGGUUG
This 551-nucleotide ribosomal RNA is filed under the name uncultured bacterium. RNAcentral describes it as "bacterial SSU rRNA". It matches the Rfam family "Bacterial small subunit ribosomal RNA", at positions 355 to 896 of the family's 1533-position model. The record is from RNAcentral.